GGGACCGCGGGACCCCGGCGCGGCCGUGCCGGGCCCCGUGCCACCGGGCCGUGUCCCCAGCGGGCGCCCCGUCCCCGGCAGUGCCAAGGACGCGUGCCUGUCCGCACGCUAUCACUGCCGGAUCCCGAUGCCACCGACGGCUCGGCACCUUCCUGCUCCGGUAGACCCCGGGGGAUGACGGUGGAGCGGCCCCAGCCCCGGCUGCUAACCUCGGGAGCUGUCCGGGGCAGCUCCCAGCUCCAUGUUUGUCCGCUCCCGUCCCUCCAGUGCUCCAGGACAGCACCACAGCGCAGCUCGGUGUCACACCGCCCGCGGGCUGACAUCCCCGAGCGGGAGCCGCGGUGGUGGCGGCUGCUGGCCGGCCCGGGGGGUGCUGCCUCCGCUCCUUUCGCUCCCCAUCCCCAGCCCACAUCCCUGGCUCCAUCCCCCAUCCGUCAGGCCUGCCUGCGGCGCUGCCAACCCCCGGCAGCGCACCGAGCGCCCGGGCAGGGGCACAGCCCCGGUGCCGCCCGGUGACCGGGACAGCGGCCAGCCCGGCCGGGCCCCGCCGCGCUCUCUUCCCCGGCGGGCGGGGAAGCACCGGUGAAUCUCCCGGGGCUCGGGAGAGAACAAAGGAGGGCAGCUGCAGCGGAGGGAGCGGCGCUGCCGGAUGCGCUGCAGCGCGGAUAAUCCGCCCCGGCACAGCCCCCGGAGCACCGGCAGCCCCGGCCCGGGGCGUGAGGGCCGUGCGGGGCGGGGAGGGGGCUCAUCCCGGCUCCCCACCCGCCCCAUCCCGGAUCCUCUCCCCGUGUCCCCCCGUUUCAUCCCGCCCCGCGGCCGCGCUCACCCCGGCUAAUGCCGCGCCAUAAAGGAACCGACUUACA
Non-coding RNA from Taeniopygia guttata (zebra finch), 863 nucleotides. The record is from RefSeq and is a predicted model, not a curated record. Lineage: Eukaryota; Metazoa; Chordata; Aves; Passeriformes; Estrildidae.